GCAGAGAGGCCAUAAACGCCAGCAGUCGCAGGCAAACCAUCAUCAGGAAGAGUGGAUUCAUCGCAGCAGCUCCGAAGAACAAGUCAGUUCAGUCGUUCUACUUCGUCUUCUUCUUCCCUCUAACAAUGAAGACUUGCGGCGUUUUUCUGGUCAUAGCAUCCCUGCUAGUUUCCGGCUGCGUCUGUCAGAGUAAGUAAAUCCCGUGUCUAAUGGAGGACAUCACUACAACUCGAAGAAGACAAAACUCUUGCAAUGACACGCCCGCCUGUGAAUCUCUGAGAUCCAUGUGUGUUGAUGUGGGAAGCGCCAGCUCUUGCGACGCUACGGACGCCAGCGCGUGUGGAACUACAAACUGCACAUGCUGCAUUAUGACAC
Macrobrachium nipponense is the source of this 375-nucleotide long non-coding RNA. RefSeq lists it as uncharacterized. Lineage: Eukaryota; Metazoa; Arthropoda; Malacostraca; Decapoda; Palaemonidae. The record is from RefSeq and is a predicted model, not a curated record. The transcript is spliced from 3 exons.